This 375-nucleotide ribosomal RNA is filed under the name uncultured organism. RNAcentral describes it as "bacterial SSU rRNA". It matches the Rfam family "Archaeal small subunit ribosomal RNA", at positions 476 to 851 of the family's 1478-position model. The record is from RNAcentral.
CCAGCACCCCGAGUGGUCGGGACGAUUAUUGGGCCUAAAGCAUCCGUAGCCGGCUUUACAAGUCCCCCGUUAAAUCCAACUGCUUAACAGAUGGGCCGCGGAGGAUACUAUAAGACUAGGAGGCAGGAGAGGCAAGCGGUACUCAGUGGGUAGGGGUAAAAUCCGUUGAUCCAUUGAAGACCACCAGUGGCGAAGGCGGCUUGCCAGAAUGCGCUCGACGGUGAGGGAUGAAAGCUGGGGGAGCAAACCGGAUUAGAUACCCGGGUAGUCCCAGCUGUAAACGAUGCAGACUCGGUGAUGGACUAGCUUAAUGCUAGUCCAGUGCCGCAGGGAAGCCGUUAAGUCUGCCGCCUGGGUAGUACGGUCGCAAGACUG